Molecule: RNA transcript, 1616 nt
Organism: Arachis ipaensis
Lineage: Eukaryota; Viridiplantae; Streptophyta; Magnoliopsida; Fabales; Fabaceae
Gene name: DNA repair and recombination protein RAD54-like
Source: RefSeq, a predicted model, not a curated record
CUUUUGUUUCAAUUUUUAUCUUCUUCUCAAAAACUGCCCUGCCUCCUUACGGUUUACAGAGAGCCUUCACUCAUUCACAAAGUCACACUGCUCUCCUACCUGUGGCCACCAUCGAUCUUCCGGGUUGCACUCCAGCCAACUUCCGCCCUUGCAACUCAGGCGACCUCUACCCUCUCUGGUUCUUCGCCCUCACAGAUUAGAGAGCCCUAACUCGCUCACCUGCUCUGCCUUGUGGCCACUGCCGCGGCGCUGAUCUUCCGGGUCGCACUCCAGCCAACCUCCGACCUCGCAACUCAGGCAACCACCACCCUCGUGGUUCGCGUUCACAGGUAAUAGCUCUCACCCGCUCACACUGCUCUGCCUCCUGCAUGUGGCCGCCUCCUCCGGUCUCGGACCUCGCACCGCCACCAGCCUCCAACCCUUGCCACUUUGCGUCUUUGUGCGACCUCUGUGGCUCUGUCAAGUCCCAAUUUUUUGUGCUCAUUGUUUUGUAUGAGACAUUCCGAAUGCAUUCGUCAAAGUUUAGCUCUAGUGGCUCUCGUGACCUCCUUAUCUGUGAUGAGGCUCACAGACUAAAGAAUGAUCAGACGAUAACAAACAGGGCAUUGGCAGCUCUUCCAUGUAAACGUAGAAUUCUAUUUUCAGGAACUCCUUUGCAGAAUGACUUGGAGGAAUUCUGUGGAAGUUGAGGCUGAGAAACUACUAAGAUGCAUGGAAUGAAUAUUAUCAACAGUGUCAGACUUUUAUGAUACUUUAAGUACUUAAAUCUCUGUCUCUCGCCAAGGUUGCAGCAGCAGAGGCUGAGCGAGAGAGAAACCAGUGAUGGAUUGUUUGUCACUUCCAUCGUUCAUUUGGAUUCCAUCAACAUAUAAGUAUGAAAAACACAGCAACCAUCAAAAGAAGUUCCAAAUUGCGGUGUCUAGGAGAGACACUGACGCUGAAUUUUCUUUGUCCUUUUCUUGUUUUCCUUCAUUCAAUGCUAUUCACAAAACAGUUCCUUUGGCUGCUUCAAUCGCAAUUUUCUCUGGUCACCCCCUGGUACUUUUUUCAUAGACCUUUGCUUGUUUGUUAUUUCUAUAGCAAAAUUGUCAAAGACAUUACUAUAGCAAUACCUAAAAAAAAUUAAUGUUUUUCCCCUCCUGAUGAAAAGUGUUUUAUUGAAAUUCUAACUUUUCUAUAUUUAUCGUUAUGGGAAGUAUUUGCUUGUUUCUGCAUAUUCUUCUAGUAAAUAUUUUGAAUUAUGUCUGCUCUUCAAAAAUGUUGUAUAUUAAUUUAGCCCUUUGAUAUUAAAAUAAGUAUUAGUAAUUAAUUUAGUCAUUUGAUGUAUAUAUUUAAGUCUCAACUUGCUUGAUGAUAAUUCGAGACCAAUUCAAUGACAUAAAUUUGACUUUAGGUUUUGUUGGAAAAAAAACACGUACAUACAGAGUUGGUGUUGUGCAUUAUGUUAUGGCUAAAUUGAAAAGGAUUAAACUAACAGCUUGAGAAUUUGUUAAUCUUCUAAGAAUAUUAAUUAAAUUCAGCAUUUUGUUAUAAUGCAGCACACGCUGGGUUCAUGUCAGGAAUGACUAGAAUAGAAUCUGUGAUUUUGUCUAAUCUAGUGUGGUCACUUAAAAUAU